Brassica oleracea var. oleracea is the source of this 1932-nucleotide long non-coding RNA. RefSeq lists it as uncharacterized. Lineage: Eukaryota; Viridiplantae; Streptophyta; Magnoliopsida; Brassicales; Brassicaceae. The transcript has 8 exons. The record is from RefSeq and is a predicted model, not a curated record.
UAGACUUUAGCAUUGGCCCUUCUCUUGAUCGAAAGUCCUCCUCUAUGUAACUCCGCUGACCUGAUCGCAGCUUCUCACCGUAGAAGAAACAGAGCCUGUUCAACUUACCCUCAUGAUAACUGGAGACGUUACAGAAUGAGGCUCAAUCGAAGGGUCGGCUUUAACGCAAUCAUUAACAGUAGCUUGGAAAACCUCUCAUGAGUUGUCGUUUGCAUUACUUCCUUUCGGUGAAUCUUCGACUAUAAAACGCCCGCCACUCAUGCCAUCGUCCGAGGUUCACCGUCUGGAAACCUUCAAACAUCUCUGAUGAAGGUAUGUUCUGUCCCGUUAAAAUCAUUAGUUAAAUCUUCUCACUAGCUUAUAAAAAGCUCAAAAAGUGUUCUUGAAAGAUUCGACAAUAAUCUUGACAACCUGGACAUCAUUGACCUGCUACAAUCCUUGGAUCCCUAGCUGAAGUUGUCUCCAAUGGAGUUGGGAGAUGAGACGGUUGUGAUGUUGAGACUGAGAAUAGCUGUAAAUGAAUUAGGAUUCAACCAAAUAUGAAAGCAGUUCUUAGAUUCAAGUCAAGUCUGAAGCUGAAACUUCUGUUAACCCAAAUCUUAAUGACAGAUCCGAUGAUGAAUAUGUGUCCAUGUAUGAAGCUGAUAGAGGUCUAAUUGUAGGUUUUCCAUUUUAUGAAGGCGACUCAAUUCAUGGACAAGAGGAAGUAUACAAAUAGACUCACACCAGAAAGAGCGAAGUGAAGCGAUCAAGAAUUUCAGGUGACCAUGGUUGGAAAAAAUAGUUAAUUAUCGUUUUCUCCAUGCUCUUUUUUUCAUGGAAGAAAAGGACUUGGAGAAGGUCAAAUUUGUGUCCUCUUCCACAACAAUCACUUCUACACCAUGAUGAACGCUUUUACUGAAUCACUUUGGUGUACCCCGAAAGUGAGGUAAUAACUGGACUUUUUCAAUGAGUGUUAUUAUCAUUAAGCCUUACGCACAGCUCAGACUCAUCGAAUAUGCUUCUCUGUCUUAUAAGUACUACACUUUGCUUUUGCUAUUUGGUGUCUCAAGGAAAGAAAUCUGCUCUCAGGUAUAUAUUUAAAUAUAUGGUUUCCGUUGCCAUUUAAAAUAGAAUUCAUAUUCUCAGUUUCUCUCACAAAUGAGUCAUUUGUGUUUGGUUCAACUUCAUUUGCUUAAACCACCGUUGAGUCAUGUGAACAUGAAUAUGCAUAAAGGAACAUGGGUAUGUAAUCUUUCCCAAUAUUGUUAUUUUAUUUGAGUGUCCUCCAUCAUUUUUCAAUGGCAAUGACAAUAUUAACGGGUUGGUGAAACUCUGUGUGUGAUAUAGCAAGAAUUUCAGAUUUGCACCAAAAGUCUAUAUUUCUGAAGUAAACUGACAUGAAAGAAAACCGAGUAAUGAACCAAUAUUUGGAAAAGGUUCAUCGCAAUUGGAACUCUAAAAUGUCUGAGAGACCCUAUAUAGUUCCAUCGUCAGGCUUCCCUUUUUUUUCAAGAAUUCAAAAAGUUUCCAUAUGGCGGAAGGGGUGUAACACUUAUGAAGUUAUUUGAGUACCCGAACUUAUAAUCAUGUGGUCAGUCGUCACCGUUUCAAGUUUCAACAGCGCGGUAAACCUACUUUGUGUCAGCUUACGUUCCAUUACAUGCCAGUUAAGUUCAAGCGAGUUACUCGUCAUUGACUGGGGAAAGCUGUAUCUUUCUUUGAGCAAGAGUGAGCUUGCGUUCCAUUCGUCUCUCAUGUUAGUUAUGGAGAUUCUGAAAUGGAGUGAGGAGAGAACAAACAUUUGCGUGAGUUAUACUCUGUGUACAGCACUGAUUCAAGUUCAUCUCAAAUCAAUUUAUUAACAUUAAAAAGAAGUCUAAUGUACAUAGUGACCACUAUCUGGAGUAGAGAUUCCUACACAUUGGUUUUAAUUGAUUGAGAUUCAGUUCA